GGUGGGAGAGAGCCCAUUACCGUGGGACACAGGGCCAGUGUGACAUCCGGGUUGCCUCAGUUUACCUUCCUUUUUUGUUCUCUCAUCAUUGUGCUAACUUUGACACUUGAUGUGGCACUAACAAGGCGUGAAUAAUACGUGCAUGGCUGAAAUUUUAUACAUGUUGCCUUAAAUAACGGCUCCUUGAAUCUGGGUGCUGCGGUAACUACAUAGGUAAGAGGUAAAGUUGGGGUCUCCGCAAUAGCUGCGCGUGGCCUCAGUGCUCACUGGGGAAACCUGCGGAAGGUAAACUGUGGUAAACUGUUAACUAAGGAUGCCACUAAAUGCUGUAAUACUCAGGGCCGGAGACAAACCGGCAUUGUGUGUGUACAGUCUUAAAAGAAACAUAACUCUCUCGAAUCUAAACCGGGGCCGCAAUCACCGUGUUCAUAAGUGACAUAUUUGAAUGGUUCACGGUCUCCCAACUUCAAUAUUUAUUUUGAUUUUGAUUUUUUUCAAAGAAAUUGAUAAGAGAAACAGCAACACAUUAUCACUACUCUGUUGUCAUUUCCUUCAAUACAACAGCAGCGAUUCUUGCAACUAAUUCUUCUGUUACCACCGAAAGGGUCCACAACGAGUCACACUUACAAGCUUUCCUUCUCCUAAGCUUUUUAACAACCUUCGGUGGCGUCACAGCAGCUUCCCGUGAAGGUAGUUUUUCUUCUUUCUCUGUUACUGUGAUUUCAUUCGUUUCAUUGGCUGGCAGAAUCUCCUUUGUUAUCUCUGUUCGUUCUACUCUCAGAGGUCCAUCGCCAUUUUCUGUAACAUUCUUAGUCUCCACAGAAGCCUCCUUAAUGGUUUCCUGUGAAGGUAGUUUUUCUUCUUUUUCUGUUACUAUAACUUCAUUCGUUUUAUUGCCGGGCAGAAUCUCCUUUGUUAUCUCUGUUCGUUCUACUCUCAGAGGUCCAUCGCCAUUUUCUGUAACAUUCUUAGUCUCCACAGAAGUCUCCUUAAUGGCUUCCUGUGAAGGUAGUUUUUCUUCUUUUUCUGUUACUACAACUUCAUUCGUUUUAUUGCCGGGCAGAAUCUCCUUUGUUAUCUCUGUUCGCACUGUUAUCAGAGGUCCAUCACCAUUUUCUGUAACAUUCUUAGUCUCCACAGAAGUCUCCUUAAUGGUUUCCUGUGAAGGUAGUUUUUCUUCUUUCUCUGUUACUAAAGUUUCAUUCGUUUUAUUGCCGGGCAGAAUCUCCUUUGUUAUCUCUGUUCGUUCUGUUAUCAGAGGUCUAUCGCCAUUUUCUGUAACAUUCUUAGUCUCGAGAGAAGAUUCCUUAAUGGCUUCCUGUGAAGGUAGUUUUUCUUCUUUUUCUGUUACUUCAACUUCAUUCGUUUUAUUGCCAGGCAGAAUCUCCUUUGUUAUCUCUGUUCGUUCUGUUAUCAGAGGUCCAUCGACAUUUUCUGUAACAUUCUUAGUCUCGAGAGAAGUCUCCUUAAUGGUUUCCUGUGAAGGUAGUUUUUCUUCUUUUUCUGUUAUUACAACUUCAUUCGUUUUAUUGCCGGGCAGAAUCUCCUUUGUUAUCUCUGUUCGUUCUACUUUAUGAGGUCCAUCGCUCUUUUCUGUAGCGUUCCUACCCUCCACAAAUGUCAUCGUAAUGCUUUUCUGUGAAGGUAGUCUUUCUUCUUUCUCUGUUACUAAAGUUUCAUUCGUUUUAUUGCCGGGCAGAAUCUCCUUUGUUAUCUCUGUUCGUACUUCUUUAUGAGGUCCAUCGCUCUUUUCUGUAGCGUUCCCCCCCUCCACAAAUGUCAUCGUAAUGCUGUUCUGUGAAGGUAGUCUUUCUUCUUUCUCUGUUACUAAAGUUUCAUUCGUUUUAUUGCCUGGCAGAAUCUCCUUUGUUACCUCUGUUCGUUCUACUUUAUGAGUUGCGGCUUUAUCGUCCUUCGGCUUUUCUUCAGUGGCAUUGGUAAGAGGCUGUACUGUUGCUUCCUUCUUUAUAACAACUUUUUCGUUAAUUUCAUUACCCUCUUCCUCCGUGACCUUUUUCACGUCCACUUUUGUGUUAGGGACCCGCUGUUUGGAGUGGUUUCCGUCAGCGUUUCCCUCUCUGUGACAGAUUUUUCGCCGCUUUCUUUACCUUCCUCAUCAAUAACAACCUGUGUUUCCGUAGUCUUUGAUACAUUUCCGUUGGGCAUUACGUCAGUUUCUGUAGUCUUUUCAACGACUGUCUUGUUUCCGGUUACAUGCCCCGUUUCAUCUGUAUUAUUAUAGACUUUCCUCUCCACGGUCUUGAUGGUGUCAUUAGUGCCACUGUCCAUGCUCUUUAAAUCAGACAAUUUGGGUAAAUCGUUGAGUC
Eriocheir sinensis (Chinese mitten crab) is the source of this 2327-nucleotide long non-coding RNA. RefSeq lists it as uncharacterized. The transcript has 5 exons. The record is from RefSeq and is a predicted model, not a curated record. NCBI's taxonomy places the organism in Eukaryota, Metazoa, Arthropoda, Malacostraca, Decapoda, Varunidae.